GCAAGUAGAACGCACAGUGUAUACCGUAGCUUGCUACAACAUAGACUGUGAGUUGCGAACGGGUGAGUAACGCGUAGGUAACCUGCCUGGUAGCGGGGGAUAACUAUUGGAAACGAUAGCUACUACCGCAUAAUAUUAAUUAUUGCAUGAUAAUUGAUUGAAAGAUGCAACUGCAUCACUACCAGAUGGACCUGCGUUGUAUUAGCUAGUAGGUGAGGUAACGGCUCACCGAGGCGACGAUACAUAGCCGGCCUGAGAGGGUGAUC
RNAcentral lists this ribosomal RNA (266 nucleotides) under uncultured bacterium. Its description in RNAcentral is "partial 16S ribosomal RNA". It matches the Rfam family "Bacterial small subunit ribosomal RNA", at positions 57 to 305 of the family's 1533-position model. The record is from RNAcentral.